ACUACCGAGUGCCCUGGAGGCUCUGAAGUUCUGGAAGCUUCCCUGUCCCUUACUGCCAAGCCUCCCUGUCUCCUGCAGCUGCCGGGGCUGGUGGACUACAGGAAGGGAGCUCCCAGGCUGAAGGCACAGGCUCGAGACUUUAGCAUCCUUGGGGACCCCACCUUUCCUUACCUUAGGUGAAUUGCACCAUGACCCUGUCCUUAGAUUUCCCAAGAGGAUCUAAAAGAUUCCAGAAUCCCAGGGUUUGAACUUGUGUCAUCCAAGGAGCUCAAGCACUCACUCAUAUGGUAAGUCCAGCGCUCUUGUUCACCCGGGACUGGGUGGAGAAGGAUUGAGGGAGAAGCAUCUGGCCUGACUGCAAAUAGUAUAGGGUUUCUUUUGGGGGUAAUGGAAAUGUUCUAGAAUUAGAUUGCGGUGAUGGUUGCAUAACAUAGCAAGAAUACUAAAACCCACCAAAUUAUAUGCUUUAAAACGGUGCAUUUAAUGUUAUGGGAAUUACAUUUCAAUAAAAAGAAAAUAGGUAAAAAGAAAGAAAGCAAACAUUUGCCCAGGUUAAGAGCAACAGGUUCUGAGAAUGAAGUUCCCCUUCCAUCUGUGUUCAGCGCAGGUGGGCUCAGGAGACCAGCAUACUCACGAUGCCUCACUUAGACCUCUGUUGCCCAAACCUUACACUGCAGGGCAAAGCUACCACUAUGGACCCUUUGGGAAACCAGCGUGUUCACUGUAUGACACAGAGUUACUUUUGCAUCCUGAUGUACUUUGGGGUCCCAGGCGUGGAACCUGAUUUCAUACAUGAUGUGGCAGAUACUGGUGGCUGCCUACCCAAUCCCCAGUCCCCUGUUCUUCCUUACUAAACAGUACCCUUGCUUUUAUUCUAGGCAUCAAUGCCCUUAGCUAAAAGACUACAUUUCCCAUUGGCCAAGGGUUGCCAAUGAGCAUGAAGCUGCAGGCCCUUGGGUGGGGCUUCCAGGAAAGCUCUUUUAAAGGGGGUCAACUCACUAAAGGCCCCUCUCUCUUCUUUGCCUUCCCUCCUUCCUGUCUGGGACACAAAUGUGAUGGCUGGAGCUCUAGCAGCUAUCUUGGAUCAUGAGAUGAGACAACUUUGAGGAUGGAAACCAUGGUUGAGGAAGAGGAAGAGCAAGAGUGAGAAGUCAGUUAGCUUCUCUGGACUUGUCUUUCCUCAUCCACCAGAUGGAGGAGUUGAACCCAAUGACCUGGAUGUUCUUGGUGAUGGAAGUUCACUCCUGCACACACCAGCUUGGCAUCUUCUUUGCAAUAGAAGCCCAACCGGGGAGGCUGCAAAUGUUAGAAUCCAAUCUGUACUGACAGGUCUUGAAUGCUUUAGGUGCCACACUGGCUGGCCAUUAAGGGUCGUGAUGAAAAAUCCCAGGAAGCUGAAGAGUGAACAUGAUCAUAAUCUCUAAAAUGGUAAGUAGAGUGGAUACAGUGGACAUGCACAUAUUGUUUCAAAUUCUGGAGGAAUUUCAUAGGAAAGAAGCUUAUGGAAUCAUUAUCCCAAGAGGUGGUAGUGCCUGCAAAAGUGAUUUCAAAGAUUAAGAUACUUGCGGAGAUGACAGUUAUAAUUGGCUAUUAAAGAGAAUGAAGUGCUUUGGGUGGUGCACCCCAGAGGCCGCUGGCAGGGCGGUACGUUUCCAGCUUCCUAGGCAGAGAGUCAUACCUGGCAUGGCCUUUCUCGCAUCCUUGGGAGGCAGUUUGCUCCAAGAGAUGCAUCUUGUUUUCAGGACACAUUCCCAUUGACUUUUUUUUUUUUUUUAAACAAAAAAAAAGCCUUUAUUGUUGACUGGGCUCAGGAAGUGGUUCUCACUGGGGGUCUCUUGUGAGGUUGCAAUAAGACAUUGAUGGGCGCUCCAGGCAUCUCAAAGGCUGUCUGCUAAUGCUGUUUGCUAGGACUUCCACUGGGGCUGAGGAGUGGAACACAUAUACUCAGCCUCUCCAAGGUCGCCUGGGUUUCUUCACAACAUGGCAGUGAGGACUGAAGAGCAAGUGCCCCGAGAGAGCCAGGCUAAAGUACCUUUCAUAGUCUAGCCUUGGAACAUACACAGUGUCACUUGGCUGUGUUCUGUUCUUUUCCUUAGAAAUGUGUCCCUAAGUCUAGCUCAUAUUCAAGGCUAGGGGAUUAGACUUCACCUCUUGAGGGGAGACCCAUUGACUUGGGAAAGAAAAAACUUGGUUGUCAUUUUAUUAUUAUCACAUAUUGAUAAUCAUUAUACCUAACAUUCCCUCUGUUCCAUCCAUUCAAUGAGUCAAGCAUUCAUUCAUUUAGCAAAUACUUAUAGUUAGGCAUUUUGGCCACACUUACAUCUGAAUAGGGCUUCACGGUUUUCAGACGAACUUCAUAUCCAGUAUUUGACUUGGUAUUCUUAACAACCAUGUGUGAGGGCUAGGUGUGUUUAAUUACUUCCAUUUUUCAGAUAAAGCAAUAAGAGGCUGGGAGAUGCAUCCAAAGUCUCUGUGCCUGGUCCAGAGGUCAUUCAAACCCAGCUUUGUCCUGGAAGCACGUUCUUUCCACUCACCACCCAGAACACCAUCUUCCUCUCUCUCUCAAAAUAUCCAAGACUGGAGAGGAGGAUAGACAGCCAGAUAGACUUGCUCUGAGGUACCAUGACUUUUGCAUGGCGUGACCACAGUUGGGGCCUUUUAGGGUGAAAGGCAGCACUAUUAAUAAUUACCCUGGGGUGGCAGGCAUGAACCAGGAUACUGUACAGAGGGUCACUUCACCCACAGAUGGUCAAAUAACUGGAACCCAAGUAUCUUGUGCUUUUCUGUAAAAUCAUGCCUUAUUUUUUAAACUUCCUAUCUCUUUGAGCAAAACCAACAAAUGCUAUCAGAGCCACAAGGAUUUGAGUGACCCACAGCUCCCCAGGAGAAGGCACGAGGGCAUCUACGUGCAUACAUGCAACUGCUCGGCUGGCUCCUGGAACCCGGCCCAUUCCACAUGAACUGAAGAUAAAUCUCACUGGUGACCACCUGAAGGGUGAGUUGGAUGGGGGACAGAGUGGACACUGGAGACUCUGGAAAGAUGUUGGUUGGAGAGCACCGUCAUGACCCCCUGUCCUUUCCUCUCUGCUGGGAUCAUUGACCAAGGCUGAGCAGUCCCAAGAUCUGAAGUUCAAAGGCUGAGAACCAGGAGAGCCAAUGGGGCAAGUUCCAGUCCAAGUUCCAAGGCAGGAGAUCAGUAUUCCAGCUCCAAGGCCAUUAGCUUAUGGGUCACUAGGCCUUGAGAAGGCACAUUUGGACCUACGAUCCUGGACUUUGAGCUAGAUGCGGCAACUGGAUCGGGUAUUAGGAUGUUGGGAUCUCUGGGUAGGCUGUGGCAGACACUGUAGGAUCCUCGGUGAACAUUCACCCCACUUUCCUUUGGCCUCUUCUUUCUUGCUUACUGGUUUUGCUGGGGGUGAGUAGCAUUUGCCCAGCAGAAAGUUAUGAGUAGUGAUGGAUUUAUCCUAAUCCAGAAGCCUUCGGAGCAAUGGUUUGCUUUUCUGGUAAAAAGAACAGAUGAAACUGGUCCAUUCUUUCUCUCAUCUUUCUACCUUGAUGCAGGCAAGCUGCCUGGAGCUGCAACAGCUGUCUGGUAAUGAUAAGGUGACAACUAAGGAUGACAGGGCAGGACAGGAAAAAGGAGGCUGGCUGGGCCUCUGGUCUUACUGAGCUGCUGUAUCAGCUCUGCAAUUCUGAUUUCCAGAGUUCUUGUUAUGUGAUAUAAUUAAGUCUUUAUUGCUGAAGCCACUAUUAACAUCUAUAUUCCAUUGCUUACAGCUGGGAGCAUUCCUAAUGUAUACACAUGAAUGGCCAAAGUCUCCUUUCUCAAUGUUUUUAAAAGUGUCAUAAGCUCUGAUCAGUUCAAACAACCAAUCUCAGGUUCCUCUCCUACUUUCCUUCAGGAUUGAUUACCCAAACCACCCUACUUGCUGUGUCAGUUUUCAAGAACUGUGAAGGGUCUGAGAUUUUAUACUGCUUGCAAGCUAAUAAGUCAGCUUGACAGAAUUUUAUGGAUGCUGGCAAAAGACGUGAGCCUCCUGGUUCAGAGACAAAGGACUUUGUUACUCAUUGCAAUGACUGUGGCCAGAAUAUCAUCAUUUAUACCGCUUCCCUGAGCCCCAGGGAUGUGAAGAUGUUUAGGUGAUACCUUUAUACAAAGUGGAGUUCAUUUCAAGAGAGAAAUCCCAAGCCUAAGUAACCUAAAUCUUUUAUAAUGAGUUUAAUUCAGCCUGUCCAACUUACACCCUGGAAGGAGACAUUAUCUUUGUUAUUCUGCAUAGAGAACAAAUAUGCCUUGGCUUCUCCUUCUGAGGACCUAUCUCUGUUUUCCAAAGCUGUUCAUUCUAUAAACAUCCUUGGAAAGAUACCCUGGAAUAAAGACAGUGAUAACCUCUGCUCUAAGACAUGCACAAAGCUGAGAAACCCAUGGAAAUUGUCUCCCAAUAUUAGACUGUAUUCUUAGUUGCAAGUAAUAGAAAUGGACUCUGGCUGGUUUAAGCAAAAGGAACUUGUUAAACCAAUGUAAGAUACAGCCACUUUAGAGAACUACAUAUAUGGCAAUAUCUAGUUAGCCUGGGGAGGCUCAUAGGGAAAGACCUAUCAAUUCUACUCCUAGGAAUAUACCAUCUAGGAACCCUGGCACACAAAGACCAGAAGAGAUGUGUCGGAGUCUACAGCAGUAUUCUUUAUAUUAACAUAACAUUAGAAAUAACUCAAAUGUCUGGCUAUAAGGGAAUGUACAAAUUGUGAUACAUACUUUCAGUGGAAUUCUCUUAGAGUCACAGGAAUAAAAAUGAGUGAACUAAUAGCCACAUGCAUCAUCCUGGAAUAAUUAAUAAUCAUAGUGUUGAGUGAGAAAAAGCCAGUUUCAGAAGGAUAUGUAGAGUAUGACACCAUUUAUGUGAAGUUUAAGGAUAUACAGGAUGGCCAGGCACUGUGGCUCACGCCUGUAAUCCCAGCUCUUGGGGAGGCAGAGGCAGGAGGAGAGCUUGAGCCCGGGAGUUUGAGACCUGCCUGGGCAAUAUAGCGAGACGCUGUUCGAAAAGAAAAACAAAAGAAUAUACAGGAUGACGCCAUGUCAUGCUCAGGGUUCCCUAAUAUAUAGUAAAGUAUUAAAGGUGCAUGAAAAUGGGAAUACCAAUUCCAAGCAGUAUGUUGUCUCUCCAUGGGGAGGCAAGCAGAAUUUAACUAAUUUAUCCAAGCUUCACAUUUAAGUUUUAUUAUUGAUUAAAAUUCUCUAAGAAAUAAUGUUGAUUAGCUUAGUAGAAGGAUAGAGACAUGCAAGCCUGAGCUCAGAGGCCACCGAGCCAGGACCAAGGGAUAUAAUCCCAGAGCAUUCCAGUACAGAGUGGGUCUAGGGAGGACACAGCUGUUGUCUUGCUGAAGACUACACCCUUGGUACCAGCACCAGGAGCCCUGGCUCUGGACACGGGUUGCCGCCCUAGCAGUUCACCACUCUUCCUCCAGGGACUCAAAUAUUGUUGAGAAUCAUCUGUGGUCCUUGCUUCCUUGCCUCACACACCUGUUUCAAAGUCUAGGCCGUGAGAUCGUGCUCUAGCAGCAGGAGGACUGGGAAGGUAACCAGCUGGCGUUUUGGGCCCCUGUAGUGGGAGGUAGCCUCUGCCUCUCACUAAAAUUCAUAAGAUUGGGAACACCUCAAACAUUGAAAGGAGGUUCAGAGGCUGGGUGCUCCAAAGAGUGACAAUUCAUGACAAAGAUCAAUCCAUGUGGUCAGGUGGAGUGUGUAAGGAAAUCAUCCUAGGAAACAGGAAUAGAAGAAGUGAUAACAUUGAGGUGGUGUUUUUCUAGAUAGUACGAGGAAAACAGUAUGAGAUAAAAUUUCGUAAGCUGAACUUUACCUGGUUAUGAGGAGUACUGAAAUGUCAAUUCCUCUGUCCAUGGUUGUUUUCUAAUGAGUUAUUUUUUUAAUUAAACUGAAGCGAUCUCCUUUGUUAGUCUGUAAGCUCUUCAAAGUCUAGGACCAUUCCUUACUUUGGAGAGAUGCCAUAUUUGCUCUGGGAAGCCAAGGGCAUUUAGGGCAGAGGGAACUGGGCAUGAAUCCUGAGUCUGCUGCUGCUUAGCUGAAUGGCAGUGGCUCCAUUAGACAGCCAUUCUCAGUCUUGGCAUGUUUGAAGCCAUUCCUGUACACUUUAUAAAAUUAGUCAUGGAAGAAGGAACAGGAAGAAACUAAGAUAAAUACUGAGUGUGCCUGCUUGCAGCACACCCAGUAUUAAUCAUGAGGGCAGCCUGCUCUCUGACCUGCUUCCUCCUAGCUGUUUGGUGCAUGUUGCCUCAGAAUCACAUAGACCCUGCAAGAUUGUAGUUCCCCUUAACUGCUCUAUAGAUAACAGCUUGAAUGUUACAAAGUGUUACAUUUUCCAUUUGAGAUAUUCUUUCAGGUUCUGCAUACCAAUGAAGCUACUGACGUCAGCUGGCCUGAAGGACCUCACAGGAGCUGACUCACCGAAGAAUGCAGUUUCCACAUUCUGAUGAUUUCAUCCUCUCUCCUCUAACCAAUCAAUGACCUCAAUUUUCCAGUUCCUUGCCCUCCAUGGUCGCUUAAAAAAACCCAGUCUAGAGCUCCUCAGGGUGAUGGAUAUGAGGGCCUCCUUCCAUCUCCUUGCUUAGAGCCCUGUGAUCAUUAAACUCUUUCUCUGCUGCAAACUCUGCUGUCUCAGUGUAAUUGGUAUGUUACUGUGCAAUGGGCAUACCAACCUGUUGGUCCUGUAAUAUCCUCACGAGCAAAAUGGAGCUUGCAUCCACUUCUCUGUGUGGUAAAGAUGAAAUUCAACAUGAAUAAAAUGAUGUUCAGUAGAUGUUCAGUAAAUAUUUCUUCCUUUCCCUUAGGUCCUUCGGCCCUUUCUGUUUCUCUUUAGGAUGUAGCACUGGGCUUAGAAAGCCCUUGGCUGGUGUUUGCUGAAUGAACUUGGCUUCAUCAUAACAUUUGUGGACAUGCUUCUUCCCUUUCUGUUUAUAGCUGCCAUGUGUGAGCUUAUCUAUAGCCCUUUUGCCAGCUUGGUAUAAUUCUGUUUUUCAUGGGCAGCCUUUAGAAAAUUCUUAUGUGCCAAGAUGACUUCACUGUUGCUUGUUUUCUUCAUUCACUAAACAAUUCAUUUAACAAAUGGAAAGACCAGAUAUGUGCUUGGCUCCAGUGGUAAAUAACAUGGAUUUCACUGCCAUGAAACUGGCAGCUACAAUCAGAGGGACAGGCUUGACAAUCUGCCCCCCCUAGAAUGGUGAACUCAGACAGUGCACAGCUCUCACGGCCACCUAACCCAGCAGUUCAACAUAUGCAAUUUUAUUCUGCUGUCAUGCCAUAUAAUUCUCAGGGUUUUCUAAAACAAAACAAAAAAAAAGAAGUUUUCAGUUAAUUACUAUUUAAUCAUCUUAUCAAUAUUUUGAGAAAAUGACAUUCCUACACAUAUUUCCCAACAUGCCCAAAGCUCAGCUUUUAUUUACUUUUAUUUACCAAGUCUCAGUGGUCUUUUGGGUAGGAAUUAGCCAGGUCCCGUUUUAAAUUUCUUGCUUCAUGUAGUUUCGAAAAGCUCUACUUCCAGUUUUAUCCCUACCUCUUCCCGCUGAGAAGGAUCAUGAAUACAACAACUGCCUCUAAGCACUGAUUAUGAAGACGGCAGUGAAAUUACUGUAUCAACAGUCUCAUUAAUCCAAUCACUCGAGAUGAACCCUGGUGGAAAUUAAUAGUGGCUGUAAUGUAGCAGGGGAUUGGCCCACUGGAAGCACAGGAUGGACUGCUGAGCCCAUCUGGCUCCAAAUUCUGAUGUUCGAUCCUGCGGGGGAAGGGAGGGAAGAUGGGAAGGCACAGGCUUCCCGCAAGGCUGUUGAAAAGAGGUCUUUGAGGAAUCACCACACAGUCCUCCAUGAUGGCUGAAGUAAUUUGCGAUCUGUUUGGAUUAUUUUAAGACAAAGGACCUCUGCCGGAGGUUGCGUUGUCUGUUGGGUUUGGGGUGUUCGUUGCAUUUGUCUCUGCAUGUCUGUGUCCAUUCUCUGUCUGUGGCUGACUUGCUAUGUCCGGGUCUCUUUCCUUCCACACUUUCUCUGUCAUUUGUUCUUCUUCUCUUCUUCCUCCUCCAAGCCCUUUGCUGCUACUGUCCGCACAAUCUCUUCCUGUCUUGGAUGGCUGCUCUCUGUUCUCUCUUUUUCUUGGGUUCUGUCUCUUUCUCUCCUUCUCUGGUGUUUCUCUGAACGUUUUCUGGUGCCUAUUGAUUGGGGACCAAUAGGAUGUCUCUCUCUGUUGAAAUGGUCACUUGGACUCAAACUAUGACUUCUUCCCUAUUUUUCCGCAGGAAUGCACUUUGUCUUGAGUAGGGCUUGCUGGGAGGAAGUGAUGGGGAGUGAACACGGUUUUCUUUUGCAUGCGGCACGGUUCUCUCCCUUCUACCAGACACCUAGAGGGAGAUGAGGCUGGGACCAUGCCGAAUUAUCUUUGCCUCUGAGAUGAUACUGGGCUGUGUUUUAGAGAGUUACUUUCAGGGAAACAAAUCCCAAGAAGGGGGCACAAUAUGACUUUGCAGUUCAGACACGGUUAUCAUUUUGGGAUUUCAGAGAGCAGUUUACUAGAGAGAAAAAUCCUCAUUUCAGGCAGUUAUAGCUUUUCACUACCACAGGUCCCUACUGAUGGUAUCAAAAGAAAAGUAAACAACAGGAAAAAAUGGUUCCCUUUCUCCUGAGGUCUGUGUGGCCCCUUGUCCGCCUGUACUCGCCACACUGGGGUUGUGGAAAGUGGACUGAAUUGAUCUAAGCUUGUGGAACUAAUCUGCACCCUAAACCGACAAAGGCACGGACCAAGGCAUCAAACAGUGAAAUAGUCGGGUGGUAAGGCUGUUUGAAGUCGGCAGACAGCGUGAGUUCAAGGUAGCCAGGAAGAGCUCCAGCUUCUUAUCUGGGUGUCAAAACAUUUUUAAUUUUUUUGGUCAGUGAUGAUAAGCACUGUGGACUCAGGCUCAGGAGGUUUGGCUGCUAGUUCACAACUAGGUCUGUUUCUCUGGUUUUUGUUUGUUUUUUGUUUUCUUUUGAGACUCCAUUACCCAGGCUGGAGUGCAGUGGCA
This is a long non-coding RNA of Sapajus apella (tufted capuchin), 9065 nucleotides long. RefSeq lists it as uncharacterized. NCBI's taxonomy places the organism in Eukaryota, Metazoa, Chordata, Mammalia, Primates, Cebidae. The record is from RefSeq and is a predicted model, not a curated record. The transcript has 8 exons.